RNAcentral lists this ribosomal RNA (440 nucleotides) under uncultured Hyphomonadaceae bacterium. RNAcentral describes it as "bacterial SSU rRNA". It matches the Rfam family "Bacterial small subunit ribosomal RNA", at positions 338 to 795 of the family's 1533-position model. Lineage: Bacteria; Pseudomonadati; Pseudomonadota; Alphaproteobacteria; Hyphomonadales; Hyphomonadaceae. The record is from RNAcentral.
CCUACGGGGGGCAGCAGUGGGGAAUAUUGGACAAUGGGGGCAACCCUGAUCCAGCCAUGCCGCGUGAAUGAUGAAGGCCUUAGGGUUGUAAAAUUCUUUCGCUAGGGAAGAUAAUGACGGUACCUAGUAAAGAAGCCCCGGCUAACUCCGUGCCAGCAGCCGCGGUAAUACGGAGGGGGCUAGCGUUGUUCGGAAUUACUGGGCGUAAAGCGUGCGUAGGCGGAUUGGAAAGUUAGGUGUGAAAUCCCAGGGCUCAACCCUGGAACUGCACUUAAAACUGCCAGUCUAGAGUUCUGGAGAGGUAAGUGGAAUUCCUAGUGUAGAGGUGAAAUUCGUAGAUAUUAGGAGGAACACCAGAGGCGAAGGCGGCUUACUGGACAGAUACUGACGCUGAGGCACGAAAGUGUGGGGAGCAAACAGGAUUAGAUACCCCUGUAGUC